ACAAUAAAUUUGUGAAUUGGAGAAGGGCGUUGGUCUCUGAUUGGUUGAUGAGAUAUUUUAGAUAUUUAUCUCACCGUUAUGAGUUCAAACUUAAUUAUUUUAUACCAAAAUUCAUCAUAUCUACAUAUAUAUUUUUGCAGCUAUUUUGUGAAAUAAAUCCUAUAAUUGGAACUUAUUUACAAUACGUACCACUGGAUUUUAAUGUUUGUUUUUGAUAAUUAGAAAAAAAAUCUUCAAAUUAAAUAUUUGACAUUUAACAAUCUUCCCUAAAUCUCUCCACAUUAACUACACGAUUAGUUACUAAAAUAAAACUUCCAAAAUAUUUAAUAUCAUUUAAUUACUACAAAAUAAAUGGUUUUUUUACGGGACGGAUUGGUGGGACGGGUUUGACAGGACGUUACUUAAUAACAAUUGUAAACUAUAAAAUAAAAAUAUUUUAUAGAUAGAUACAAUUUGCAAACUUUAUGUAUACUAACUUUAGAAAAUAAAUUGUUUCCGCGGUGUACCGCGGGUUAAAAUCUAGUUGUUUUCUUUAUAAAUAGAAACUUGAAUCAUUUGAUUAUGACACCAAAACCGAUUUAUUGCUGGUAUCCUCUUUUUUUUCCUUUUUAAUUAAGUGGGAAUGCUUUGUUGGAUGAGUUAUUUGAUAUUAUCUUGAAGUUCUAUCAU
RNAcentral lists this small RNA (669 nucleotides) under Arabidopsis thaliana (thale cress). RNAcentral's name for it is "ATSL026300". Lineage: Eukaryota; Viridiplantae; Streptophyta; Magnoliopsida; Brassicales; Brassicaceae. The record is from RNAcentral.